AGCCAGUGGAGCCCAGACCCCACUCAAAAAAACGGGGCGUCGCCGAAAAGCCUCACGAGUAGGAACGUU
This is a regulatory RNA element of Hymenobacter sedentarius, 69 nucleotides long. It matches the Rfam family "DUF805 RNA". The record is from Rfam. Lineage: Bacteria; Pseudomonadati; Bacteroidota; Cytophagia; Cytophagales; Hymenobacteraceae.